Molecule: ribosomal RNA, 783 nt
Filed under: Salmonella enterica
Lineage: Bacteria; Pseudomonadati; Pseudomonadota; Gammaproteobacteria; Enterobacterales; Enterobacteriaceae
Description: partial 23S ribosomal RNA
Rfam family: Bacterial large subunit ribosomal RNA
Source: RNAcentral
CUCCACCCGAGACUCAGUGAAAUUGAACUCGCUGUGAAGAUGCAGUGUACCCGCGGCAAGACGGAAAGACCCCGUGAACCUUUACUAUAGCUUGACACUGAACAUUGAGCCUUGAUGUGUAGGAUAGGUGGGAGGCUUUGAAGUGUGGACGCCAGUCUGCAUGGAGCCGACCUUGAAAUACCACCCUUUAAUGUUUGAUGUUCUAACGUGGACCCGUUACCCGGGUUGCGGACAGUGUCUGGUGGGUAGUUUGACUGGGGCGGUCUCCUCCUAAAGAGUAACGGAGGAGCACGAAGGUUGGCUAAUCCUGGUCGGACAUCAGGAGGUUAGUGCAAUGGCAUAAGCCAGCUUGACUGCGAGCGUGACGGCGCGAGCAGGUGCGAAAGCAGGUCAUAGUGAUCCGGUGGUUCUGAAUGGAAGGGCCAUCGCUCAACGGAUAAAAGGUACUCCGGGGAUAACAGGCUGAUACCGCCCAAGAGUUCAUAUCGACGGCGGUGUUUGGCACCUCGAUGUCGGCUCAUCACAUCCUGGGGCUGAAGUAGGUCCCAAGGGUAUGGCUGUUCGCCAUUUAAAGUGGUACGCGAGCUGGGUUUAGAACGUCGUGAGACAGUUCGGUCCCUAUCUGCCGUGGGCGCUGGAGAACUGAGGGGGGCUGCUCCUAGUACGAGAGGACCGGAGUGGACGCAUCACUGGUGUUCGGGUUGUCAUGCCAAUGGCACUGCCCGGUAGCUAAAUGCGGAAGAGAUAAGUGCUGAAAGCAUCUAAGCACGAAACUUGCCCCGA